CCCCAAAAAAGACACCCCAGUUCGGAUUGUACUCUGCAACCCGAGUACAUGAAGCUGGAAUCGCUAGUAAUCGCGAAUCAGAAUGUCGCGGUGAAUACGUUCCCGGGUCUUGUACACACCGCCCGUCACACCAUGGGAGAUGGAUAUGCCCGAAGUCAGUGACCCAACCGCAAGGGGGGAGCUGCCGAAGGUGGAGCCAUUAACUGGGGUGAAGUCGUAACAAGGUAAC
This 229-nucleotide ribosomal RNA is filed under the name uncultured bacterium. Its description in RNAcentral is "partial 16S ribosomal RNA". It matches the Rfam family "Bacterial small subunit ribosomal RNA", at positions 1272 to 1500 of the family's 1533-position model. The record is from RNAcentral.